UCGAGAAUCAUUCGCAAUGGGGGAAACCCUGACGGUGCGACGCCGCGUGAAGGAUGAAGGUCUUCGGAUCGUAAACUUCUGUCAUGAGGGGGUAAGAAGAUAAGUUUAAGAGAUGUAUCUUUUGAUAGUACCUCAAGAGGAAGGGACGGCUAACUCUGUGCCAGCAGCCGCGGUAAUACAGAGGUCCCGAGCGUUGUUCGGAUUCAUUGGGCGUAAAGGGUGCGUAGGCGGCUUUGUAAGUCGGAUGUGAAAUUUUCGGGCUCAACCCGGGAACUGCAUUCGAUACUGCAGAGCUUGAGGACUGGAGAGGAGACUGGAAUUCAUGGUGUAGCAGUGAAAUGCGUAGAUAUCAUGAGGAAGACCGGUGGCGAAGGCGGGUCUCUGGACAGAUCCUGACGCUGAGGCACGAAGGCCAGGGGAGCAAACGG
This 428-nucleotide ribosomal RNA is filed under the name uncultured organism. Its description in RNAcentral is "bacterial SSU rRNA". It matches the Rfam family "Bacterial small subunit ribosomal RNA", at positions 355 to 775 of the family's 1533-position model. The record is from RNAcentral.